UUUUCUUCCUAGUGACAAAGAUCAGCACCU
This 30-nucleotide non-coding RNA is filed under the name Rattus norvegicus (Norway rat). The record is from RNAcentral. Lineage: Eukaryota; Metazoa; Chordata; Mammalia; Rodentia; Muridae.